Molecule: ribosomal RNA, 508 nt
Filed under: uncultured bacterium
Lineage: Bacteria
Description: partial 16S ribosomal RNA
Rfam family: Bacterial small subunit ribosomal RNA
Source: RNAcentral
GACGAACGCUGGCGGCGUGCCUAAUACAUGCCAGUCGAACGCUUCUUUCCUCCCGAGUGCUUGCACUCAAUUGGAAAGAGGAGUGGCGGACGGGUGAGUAACACGUGGGUAACCUACCCAUCAGAGGGGGAUAACACUUGGAAACAGGUGCUAAUACCGCAUAACAGUUUAUGCCGCAUGGCAUAAGAGUGAAAGGCGCUUUCGGGUGUCGCUGAUGGAUGGACCCGCGGUGCAUUAGCUAGUUGGUGAGGUAACGGCUCACCAAGGCCACGAUGCAUAGCCGACCUGAGAGGGUGAUCGGCCACACUGGGACUGAGACACGGCCCAGACUCCUACGGGAGGCAGCAGUAGGGAAUCUUCGGCAAUGGACGAAAGUCUGACCGAGCAACGCCGCGUGAGUGAAGAAGGUUUUCGGAUCGUAAAACUCUGUUGUUAGAGAAGAACGAGGACGUUAGUAACUGAACGUCCCCUGACGGUAUCUAACCAGAAAGCCACGGCUAACUACGUG